RNAcentral lists this ribosomal RNA (250 nucleotides) under uncultured bacterium. Its description in RNAcentral is "partial 16S ribosomal RNA". It matches the Rfam family "Bacterial small subunit ribosomal RNA", at positions 524 to 773 of the family's 1533-position model. The record is from RNAcentral.
UACGUAGGGUGCGAGCGUUAAUCGGAAUUACUGGGCGUAAAGCGUGCGCAGGCGGCCUGAUAAGUCAGAUGUGAAAUCCCCGAGCUCAACUUGGGAACUGCGUUUGAAACUAUCAAGCUAGAAUAUGUCAGAGGGGGGUAGAAUUCCACGUGUAGCAGUGAAAUGCGUAGAGAUGUGGAGGAAUACCAAUGGCGAAGGCAGCCCCCUGGGAUAAUAUUGACGCUCAUGCACGAAAGCGUGGGGAGCAAAC